This 399-nucleotide ribosomal RNA is filed under the name uncultured bacterium. RNAcentral describes it as "bacterial SSU rRNA". It matches the Rfam family "Bacterial small subunit ribosomal RNA", at positions 355 to 771 of the family's 1533-position model. The record is from RNAcentral.
UGGGGAAUCUUGGACAAUGGGGGCAACCCUGAUCCAGCCAUGCCGCGUGAGCGAUGAAGGCCUUAGGGUUGUAAAGCUCUUUCACCGGGGAAGAUAAUGACGGUACCCGGAGAAGAAGUCCCGGCUAACUCCGUGCCAGCAGCCGCGGUAAUACGGAGGGGGCUAGCGUUGUUCGGAAUUACUGGGCGUAAAGCGCACGUAGGCGGAUAUUUAAGUCAGGGGUGAAAUCCCGGGGCUCAACCCCGGAACUGCCUUUGAUACUGGAUGUCUGGAGGUCGAGAGAGGCGAGUGGAAUUCCGAGUGUAGAGGUGAAAUUCGUAGAUAUUCGGAGGAACACCAGUGGCGAAGGCGGCUCGCUGGCUCGAUACUGACGCUGAGGUGCGAAAGCGUGGGGAGCAA